CGGCGUGCAGCGCGGCCGGAGCGGAGGCGGAGCCGGCAGUGGGACGCGCGAGGUCUAAGGGCAAGCGGGAAGUGGCGGGCGGGGACGGAGCGGGGCGUGCAGAAAAGUUUCAUGACUCAGCCUGUAACCCUUCUGGACACCUAUACACACUGGCAACACACCUCGGAGGUUGGCCAGAAGUGGAAGGCGGAGGAAGAUGUAGCGCUGUAGGCCAAGAAGACCCGUGUGUCAGACCCCAUUAGCAGCUGGGAGAGCUUGGAAGAGGAGGCGGCGGCAGAAGCUGAAACCGCCAAAGCC
This is a non-coding RNA of Vicugna pacos (alpaca), 297 nucleotides long. NCBI's taxonomy places the organism in Eukaryota, Metazoa, Chordata, Mammalia, Artiodactyla, Camelidae. The record is from RefSeq and is a predicted model, not a curated record.